UAUGUUGAGACGCGGCAGACGGCUCAGUAACACGUGGCUAACCUACCCUCAGGACAAGGAUAAACCCGGGAAACUGGGGCUAAUACUUGAUAGGCGAAGAUGUCUGGAAUGAUUAUUCACCUAAAGGGCUUUAGAAACAUGCUUCUAAAGUCGCCUGAGGAUGGGGCCGCGUCCGAUCAGGUUGUUGGUGAGGUAACGGCUCACCAAGCCUAUAACCGGUACGGGCCGUGAGAGCGGUAGCCCGGAGAUGGGUACUGAGACAAGGACCCAGGCCCUACGGGGCGCAGCAGUCGCGAAAACUCCGCAAUGCACGAAAGUGUGACGGGGCUACCCCGAGUGCCAUCCGCUGAGGGUGGCUUUUCUUUGGUAUAACUAGCCAGGGGAAUAAGGAGAGGGCAAGACUGGUGUCAGCCGCCGCGGUAAUACCAGCUCUCCGAGUGGUAGGGAUGAUUAUUGGGCUUAAAGCGUCCGUAGCCGGCUUAACAAGUCUCCUGUUAAACUCAGCGACCUAAUCGUUGAAUCGCGGGAGAUACUAUUAGGCUAGGAGGCGGGAGAGGUCGACGGUACUUCUGGGGUAGGGGUGAAAUCCUAUAAUCCCAGGAGGACCACCAGUGGCGAAGGCUGUUGACUAGAACGCGCUCGACGGUGAGGGACGAAAGCUGGGGGAGCGAACCGGAUUAGAUACCCGGGUAGUCCCAGCCGUAAACGAUGCGGGCUAGGUGUUGGGAUGGCUACGUGCCAUUUCAGUGCCGCAGGGAAGCCAUUAAGCCCGCCGCCUGGGGAGUACGGCCGCAAGGCUGAAACUUAAAGGAAUUGGCGGGGGAGCACCACAAGGCG
This 837-nucleotide ribosomal RNA is filed under the name uncultured archaeon. Its description in RNAcentral is "bacterial SSU rRNA". It matches the Rfam family "Archaeal small subunit ribosomal RNA", at positions 67 to 888 of the family's 1478-position model. The record is from RNAcentral.